UAAUCUUUUUUCUCUAAUUAUGUAAUUAAAACGAAAGAGUUUUACGCGUCGAUGAGACAAAUUAAAAAUUAUUAGGAAAUAUACCUCAAUGUUUAAUAACAUAACAUAUUUUUUUCAAGUUUUAGUGCUACCUUUUGUCAAAAUGUUUAAACAAAUAAUCAAUUAUGAAAGCUAAAAGAUACAGCUGGAGCAGUUUUAUAUUCAGAAAGGACAUUUAAAGGAUAUUUUUUAACGUAUUACACUUUUAUUGUUGUUUGUUGAUAAAGAAAGUUCUAUUGAAUUGAAAAAAUGCUGCCAUAGACAUACUCACAGGGGAUACUUUGCUUUUCAAAAUCUUUUAAAUGAGUAAAUUGUUGACAUUCGAGCAGGUAUCACGUAAAAUCUCCUAUCUUAAGUAAUAAAUAUAAAUACUGUUUUUAAAGAUAAUUUAAACAACAACUUCUAUUCGAAUCUAUAAAAAACGUUUCAAUUAAAGAUAGAUAAGUAUUGCAUUUCCUAGUUUGAAAAGCAAUUUUUUACUUUAGAUUUAGGUAUAUUACCUAAUAUACGUCAAAUUUAUUCAAGUCAUAGUGAUAAUCCUACGUAAUAUGUAGAUAUCAAGUACUUAUCUAUAGUGUACAUACAUUUUGCGAUGAAGCUGAAAAUUCUAUUUGUAAAAUAGUUAUUAUUGUACCUACGGAUUGACAACAAUAAAUGAAAAUAGUAUUGUUGAUUUUAGUUUUUGGCCCAAAAACUUCACAUAUUAUAUGCUAUUUUGUUGAAAUGAGCUUUUACCGCAGGGGAGCUAAUAAUAUUGUUAUUUACUGAUCUUGGGCUUUUUACUUUCUCUUAAGAAAAUUAUGGAAGAGUGUACUAUAUUAGGUAUCUCCUGAAUAAAAAGUUUUACCAGCGGGACCAAGUCCAUUGAAAAUGCCAAAAAGUAUUCCGUAAAGAAGUUCCCACGCAUCUUCUUCGUCAAGAUUUAUUAACUUUCAAAGUUUAGGAAUUU
This is a long non-coding RNA of Agrilus planipennis (emerald ash borer), 988 nucleotides long. RefSeq lists it as uncharacterized. The transcript is spliced from 3 exons. Lineage: Eukaryota; Metazoa; Arthropoda; Insecta; Coleoptera; Buprestidae. The record is from RefSeq and is a predicted model, not a curated record.